AGAGUUUGAUCCUGGCUCAGGAUGAACGCUAGCUACAGGCUUAACACAUGCAAGUCGAGGGGAAACGACAUCGAAAGCUUGCUUUUGAUGGGCGUCGACCGGCGCACGGGUGAGUAACGCGUAUCCAACCUGCCCACCACUUGGGGAUAACCUUGCGAAAGUAAGACUAAUACCCAAUGAUAUCUCUAGAAGACAUCUGAAAGAGAUUAAAGAUUUAUCGGUGAUGGAUGGGGAUGCGUCUGAUUAGCUUGUUGGCGGGGUAACGGCCCACCAAGGCGACGAUCAGUAGGGGUUCUGAGAGGAAGGUCCCCCACAUUGGAACUGAGACACGGUCCAAACUCCUACGGGAGGCAGCAGUGAGGAAUAUUGGUCAAUGGACGAGAGUCUGAACCAGCCAAGUAGCGUGCAGGAUGACGGCCCUAUGGGUUGUAAACUGCUUUUAUAAGGGAAUAAAGUGAGUCUCGUGAGACUUUUUGCAUGUACCUUAUGAAUAAGGACCGGCUAAUUCCGUGCCAGCAGCCGCGGUAAUACGGAAGGUCCGGGCGUUAUCCGGAUUUAUUGGGUUUAAAGGGAGCGUAGGCCGGAGAUUAAGCGUGUUGUGAAAUGUAGACGCUCAACGUCUGCACUGCAGCGCGAACUGGUUUCCUUGAGUACGCACAAAGUGGGCGGAAUUCGUGGUGUAGCGGUGAAAUGCUUAGAUAUCACGAAGAACUCCGAUUGCGAAGGCAGCUCACUGGAGCGCAACUGACGCUGAAGCUCGAAAGUGCGGGUAUCGAACAGGAUUAGAUACCCUGGUAGUCCGCACGGUAAACGAUGGAUGCCCGCUGUUGGUCUGAAUAGGUCAGCGGCCAAGCGAAAGCAUUAAGCAUCCCACCUGGGGAGUACGCCGGCAACGGUGAA
This 900-nucleotide ribosomal RNA is filed under the name uncultured bacterium. RNAcentral's name for it is "bacterial SSU rRNA". It matches the Rfam family "Bacterial small subunit ribosomal RNA", at positions 8 to 898 of the family's 1533-position model. The record is from RNAcentral.